Molecule: long non-coding RNA, 252 nt
Filed under: Gallus gallus (chicken)
Lineage: Eukaryota; Metazoa; Chordata; Aves; Galliformes; Phasianidae
Source: RNAcentral
GUACUUUUCAACCAACGCCAGAGUGCUGAAGCCAAACUUGUGAAUGGGCUCGUUGGAAUCCAAGGGUGGGAAAUCUGUGUCAACCUCACCAUCGUCCUCAGCAAUAUGGAGGCAGUAGGCACUGACGUUGUCGUUCAGUUUUGGUUCCCGUCCCUCACUUGUAUAUUGCCAGCAUAUUAGUCCAAUCAGGUCAUGCACCUUGGCAUUUGCUAUCGUCACAACUGUCAUGGGCUGCAGUUUGUCUUGGUUUGC